AUAUAGCACUGACCCACAAUCUUUUUCACUCAAGAGGAUUCCUCCUUCCUCGGAGUUCUGUCAUAAUACUACUAAGAAUAAUACUGUUACUCUUAAUACAUUUUCUUCUUAUAUGAAAAAGUUAAAACACGCUCAUCCCCAUGCUACACUAGAAGAAAUAGAAAAACAACUUUUUACAAUAUUUGCUGACCCUUCUACGUUACCUACAACAUCAGAAGAAACUGUCCAAUCUGGUAAUCCUCUUCUUGAAGAAUUUAACCAAAGGCCCGAAAACUGACGACCCGGCCUAUUGGAAAAUCUCAUCUUUAUCCUUU
This 314-nucleotide long non-coding RNA is filed under the name Amborella trichopoda. RNAcentral describes it as "long non-coding RNA (ATRI_LNC001809)". The record is from RNAcentral. Lineage: Eukaryota; Viridiplantae; Streptophyta; Magnoliopsida; Amborellales; Amborellaceae.